This 123-nucleotide transfer RNA is filed under the name Paenibacillus oceani. RNAcentral's name for it is "tRNA-Ala". Lineage: Bacteria; Bacillati; Bacillota; Bacilli; Caryophanales; Paenibacillaceae. The record is from RNAcentral.
UUGGCUCAAUCUAAAAUACAAUAAUGAACUCCUCAUCCAUAAUCCUUAUGGUAGUAUACUCGUCUAACGCGGAGCGCAUCGCUGGCAGCGAUGAGGUCAGGGGUUCGAUCCCCCUAGGCUCCA